Molecule: long non-coding RNA, 13235 nt
Filed under: Manihot esculenta (cassava)
Lineage: Eukaryota; Viridiplantae; Streptophyta; Magnoliopsida; Malpighiales; Euphorbiaceae
Description: long non-coding RNA (MESC_LNC006214)
Source: RNAcentral
AAUCUACCAUGGCCAAACUUGGAGGAUGUAUCAAUAAACUUGAGCUUAAUCUCCUCCAAAGCAACCCUAGAUGUCUGGUUCAACAAUGAUUGUCUCAAGGUCACAACUCUCUUCUUUGGUCCCACGCAGCAUCCUUUUAUCAUCAAAUAAUCUUCCUUCACCACACCAUAAUGGGGGAAUCCUCCCAUUGGAGUGAUAUCCUUUUCAGUCCUGUUAUUUGUGAAACAGAUUAGCCAAUUUCGAUGGGGCAAAUUUACAAUAACAACAAUAACCUCCUACGAAUUGCUAGAUCAAGACGAAUGAUAUUAAUAUAGGACAGUGAAAAAAAGGCAUUAAGAAUGUUAACCUGUCAUAUUCAGUAAUUGCAGUAUGAGAAUCUUGGCCACUCUUCCCAAGCUUGUAGAUUUUCUUGUUCAUCUCAGUACGGUGAUGGUAACCAUUCUGUCCAGCCCUAGCAACAGUAAAUGACACCCUAGCUGGAUGCCAAGCACCAAUACAUGCCACCUUCCUUAGACCACGAUGGGUCUUGCGGGGCAGGCGGGUCACACCCCAACGAGUAACCACACCUUCAUAUCCCUUACCCUUGGUUACACCAAUAAUAUCAAUCAUCUCAUCCUUUUGGAAAACAGCAUCAAUAGGUAUCUGCUUCUCAAAGAAACUGUAUGCAAAAUCAACCUUCUUGGCAACAUCCCCACCAUUUACUUGAAUCUCCAUCAGAUGGGCUUUCUUCUGCUUCAACCCUUUCAUCUUUCUUAUCUGCAGAGUCAAUAGUGCAGCAAAUGUGAAGAGUUAAAGAUUAAAGAAGAGCACAUACAAGUUGUACUCAGAAGACCAAAACUGUGAAUCUAUACAAGGAUCAGCAAUCCAGCAGUCUUAAGGUGCUACUAAAUUGAUGAGUAAUUAUAUCUCAUUAGCAGAACUGAAUACACAAGGGAAAAGUGAAAGUAAUUUACCUGGGUGUGCGCCAAGACUCGAAUGACCGAACAAUGCUUCUUCAGUUUCUCCAAUUGAGCUUGAAUAUCUUUCUUCCCAUCCUCAGAUUCAAACUUUUUAGAGUACUUGGUGAAUGCCUUCUUCUUCGACUUGCACCAGUUCUUGUAGAAUCUCCUCCUCACAUCCUCACUCAAAUGCUGGGCCCAGACAGUGUUCAGUGAACGGAGACCACGGGGUGUUUUCAUAUAACCCACAACCCCAACCACCACCAUAGGUGGUGUCUCUACGAUAGUAACAGCCUCACAUGUUUCUUUCUUGUGGAGCUUUGACCCUGGCUUUUCAACUUCUCUGACAAUGUGGGUCAUCCCUGCUUUGUAACCCAGAAAAGCAGUCAAUCUGCAAGGUUUUGUUGGAUCAUCUUUGGGGAACGCCUUCACUGUAAACAUCACAUAAAAGCGUUAAAAAAAAAUCAACAAUUGCACAACACUAACCAAUAUGCAAAUUGCAAAAAUAGUCAAUAUAAACAACUCACAAGUGAGUAAGAAAUCAACAUUAACAAAUAUUGAAAUAAUUUAAUUGCAAGGCACUGAAAAAAAUCAAUGCAAACACUAAAACUAAGGAAGCAACAUAGGAAGAUGACACUCUUUAUGAAAACAAAAAAAAUUCUUGUAUUAAAAUCUAGAACUGCUAGGAAAUGCGAAUAAUUCAUUUAUAAUAACAAACCAACUACCAAGGCUAGGCAUAGGCCAUCUAUCUACCCACAACUCAUGCAGCAUAGAAAAGAGGCCAUUAUUGAAAUAUCAAGGACCUAUUUACUUGUAGAAAACAGUUUUUCUUUUCAACCUUCGAAGAAUUAGAAGACUAUAGUUUUCUUUUUAUAAAGAAAACAAAGGAAAAGAUGGAAAGCAAGUUCAAUAGUGAAUGAUAGAAAAUAGUUAUGUAUUUUAAAAAUUUUUAAGAAUUAUUUGUAUCCAUUCGUAAUAAAAAAAAAAGUCAUGAUAAAUAUAUUUUAGAUCUAUUUUUUAAUUGUGUCAAUUGUUUUAUCUUAUAAUAAUAUAGUUAGUUCUCAUUACUGUAAAUAAAUGUUUUUUCCCAACUUAAUGAUGAAAAGUUAUAGAAUAAUUUGAGUCAUUAGAGGAGAACAGUUGAAAAUAGAACUUUUGUUAUAAAGAAAAAUAAUGAGGAAAAAACAUAAAGCUGAUUUCCAAAUCUUAGUCAAGUUUUGGAAAAUUGAAAAACAAAAUUUUCAAUUCUCAGAUUGGAAAAUUGAUACAUAUGCACACAAAACUUUAUUUUCCAAUUUACUUAGAACAUUAUUCCCAAAAAUUACUCCAGUUUUCUACAAGUAAGAAAGUACAAAAAGUCCUGAGAUUUUUCAUGCCAAGGAAGAAAUGACAUACAAACGGACAAACCAUACAUGAAUUUAUUUUAUCAAAAGCCCUAUUUUUACAUCCAAAAAACCGAAGACAACCUUAACUAUAGAGGAGUUAGCUAAUACUAAAAAACCACCAUAAUAUGAUCAAAACUAAACAAAAAGCAAUUUAGGCAACAUCAAUUACUGAUAAUGAAAACAAUCAAUGCAUGACUUCAAAAAAAUCAACCAAUGCACAUUAUGUAAGGCCAAAUAUAAAUUUAAAAAGCUUCAGCAAUAAUGAGAUUAAAACAAGAAUUAGAAACCUUUUCCUCUGUGGCGCGAGGCUCUCUUCCUUGGAAGAAAUCCCAAAGAACCAUGCCGGGGGUGUUCAAACUUGCGAUGAGACAUGCUUCAACUUCAGGGUACCACUGCAACACUAUGAAUUUCAAACUUAUUUUCCUUGAAAAAGGCAGAAAAUUCACAACAACAGAAAGCAACAAAUUUUCAAAUGAUAUUUGGUUAAUCUCAAAUGCUACUACUUAUCAAUCUGCGUGUGUAUAAAACCAGAGAAACACUAUUCUCUCCAAGUGAAAAGGAUUAAAGAGGUAUUAUCCCAUAAAGGAGCUGAAAAUUGAGAUAAAGUUUCUGGAUAAAAGCAUAAUGACUAAAACACAGAUACAAAUUAAUAGAAACAUUCAAGUUUCAAUUAAAAAUAAUAAACAUUCUCAAAAAGAAGGGUAAGUUUUAAUAUUUAACAAUUAAUUUAUUAAAAAAAUACACAAUUGACAAUUUCAUUGAAAUACUAUGUAGUCAGACAAAAGUUUCUUGUAUUUGGAUCAGAUAAGGAAAAGUAAAAUCGUAAAUAAUCAAGAGAAACCAUCACAUUAAUUAAACCUGAUUGGAAGCCUCAAAACGGUUCUUUAUUCAACUUUAAAAAUCACUUAANNNNNNNNNNNNNNNNNNNNNNNNNNNNNNNNNNNNNNNNNNNNNGCCAUCAAAAUGCUACAAAGCCAAAAGGUCAUACAAUUUCAUUACUCAAUAAUCACGAAUUUCUUUUCUAGAAAAAAUGAAAUUAUAUCAACCCUUGACCUCUAAGCAUUUGAUAUCAACACCAAACCUUAAUAAGUGAAAUGAAAUGCUUCCCAACCAAAGGCCUAUGGCAUAAAAAUUAUGCCAAAUCUCAAAGCUCAGUGGUAUUCCUUUUCAAAUACCAAUUCAUGGUAUCGGCAAAAAGAGCCAUUUCCGAGACUCCAGCCUUGAUUAUUUCAGCAAUUCUCUUAUAAAGGGAAGUCGUUUCAAAAUCACCACCACGCAAGGCGCAAUAUCAAAAUGUUUAUCAGGACAAGAGCAUUAAAAGAACCUUUAAAAAACCUCCAAAACAUCUAUUUACAAAAGAGUAAAACAAGCAGAACCCAACUCCUUCCAGAACCAAGUAGAGAUCUAAGCUAAUCAAAUAUUGAAUCAAAAAGCGCAAACCAUUAUGAAUAAAUGACAGAAAUUGUAAGGUAUUACCUCCCGAGGAGAUCACUGGACGUACUGUGUGCCGAUAAGAACCCUAGAAAGGUUUAGCUAGGCAUUUAUAUCGUUCUCGAGGUCAGAUCCAACGGCUGCAAUUAGCAUCCAAUGGGUAUUAUUGUCCGUUGGAUGGUUAGGGUUGGGGUUUUGCAAGAAGCGCCGCGGAUCCAGCAGCUAUGGAAAAUAGUAAAUGGGCUAAGAAUAUUCAAAGUUGGGCUGAUUUGUUUUUUGGUUAGUGACUUUUAAGUUAAGUUUGGGUUCUGAGCAAAUUUUAAAAUGGUAUUUAGAAAUUGAAAACGUAAAUCAUAAAAUACUAUUUAUUUUAAUUUUGAAUAAAAAUUAUCUAUCAAAUAUUAAAAUAAUUAGUAACUAUUAAAACAUGUAAUAUUACUAGACAUUAUUUUGAAAAUAAUUUUUUUUAUAACAAUUAUAUAACCUUCAUGUGUAUAGAUGUAAAUAAUUUUUAUCAAAAUAAGAAAUUAAAUUUAUGGGAUAAAUUAUAGUUAAUCAAACUUUAUAAUUUUUUAAUUUUGUUAUAUAUAUUUAUGGUGUCCAAUAAAAAAUGUUAAAUUUUUAUUAAUUAGACAAAUAAAAAAUGUAAGGAUCUUUCUUCUUUUCUCGAAUGUGAGUUCUAUCCUUCCUUUGCCUCUAAGAGUGAGACACAUUUUUUUAGCUACUUUUACUCGGUGAAUUUAAAAAUUAGAAAGAAAUUAUAUUUUUUCUAUAUGCAUAUUUGGAUCUUUGUUGGUUUUCUCCUAUAUUUGCUUGGGUGGUUCAUAAUGUUCUAUUUGGACACUUUAUUUUUAGAGGAAACUCUUUUCCUUUAGAGGAAACUCUUUUCCUUUAGAGGACAUAGCCCCUUCCUUCGGGGGAGUUAUGUUUUUUGUGCUCAAUUAUUAUUUUUUUGUAGUUCUUGGUCUAAAUACUCUAAAAUCUAUUAAUAAAAUUAUUUUUUUUAAAAAAUAAGUUUUACCCUCCUUUCAGAUUCAAGCUUACUCAAUCAUGGAAAUAGCCUCUCUCAUUUCCAUCGAAUUUAGGGUACUCUGAUGCUCGGAAUGGAGGUCGUUUAUCGCAUCAUCACUAGCUCAUCCUCUCCUGAAGACCUAAAACAAUCUAUAAAUUCAAGUGGGAUUUUUCUCGAUAACAAUUUGAUCGAUAAAGUUCUCAAAAGGUUCAGGUUUGGUCAUGGGAAACCCUUGCAAGCACUUGAGCUCUUUAAAUUCACUGCCAAUAGAAAAGGGUUUUAUCACACUCCGAAUUCGUUAGAUACCAUGCUUUAUAUAUGGGCAAAGUCGUCAAUUUGAUCAUAUUUGGGAUGUUUUGAUUAAAAUGAAGAGGAAAGACCCGUCUUUGAUUUCCUCACGAACUAUGCAAGUGGUUUUGGGUAGACUGUGGAAUCUUUUAGAAUGUUCAAGAAGUUGGUUCCUGUGUUUGAUACCAGUUCUUUCAAUGCACUGUUGAGACCCUGUGUUUUCUUUAACAAAGGAAUGAUGAUCCAACCAAUGCACACGCCCCUGGAAUACCGCAGGGCAUAGAGCUCCCUACUUUCUUCUAAUACAAAAGCUACUUCCGACUGGUUUGUUCUUGGAGAAGGAGCUGGUUUUGCUCCUCUUAGAAGAGCUAGAACAUGCUAAGGUAUACCAGCUUUAGGUCAGCUUUUUCUAUUUGUUUUCUUUGAGAGGGGUUUGUUUCCCUUAUGUAUGGUCAAAUGCUGAGAUAACAGAGAAGAGGAGCAAAGAUUUACCCAGAAUUCCUAGGUGGAAGCUUCACAAGGGUAGCCCAAGUAUUUCUGUAGGUUGAAUUUCACAAAUAUGAUGGGCUUUAUGAGUUUUUUAUUUAUUGUAUUCAGGCCUUGAAAAAAAAAAAUAAAUAUCUAACAAUGAACUUUAAAAACUCGCAUCUCAUCCAAAAAGGUUCAGUAAUAAUUAAAGCAGCAGAUGCAGUCACUAAGCAAACCAACAGCAUAAGCACACCUCAAAAGGUUCAAACACUAGGAGAAAAACAAAUUCUCAAACGUAAGAAGAAAAGUUUUGAUGUUCAUCCAUCCUCUCCCAUGCUUAACUAAACUCAAGCCUUAACACGCCCAUAGAACUUGGACUUCUCCUGUGUUGUCUGGAAUCUUCCAUGGCCAAACUUGGAGGAUGUAUCAAUGAACUUGAGCUUAAUCUCCUCCAAAGCAACCCUAGAUGUCUGGUUCAACAAUGAUUGUCUCAAGGUCACAACUCUCUUCUUUGGUCCCACGCAGCAUCCUUUUAUCAUCAAAUAAUCUUCCUUCACCACACCAUAAUGGGGGAAUCCUCCCAUUGGAGUGAUAUCCUUUUCAGUCCUGUUAUUUGUGAAACAGAUUAGCCAAUUUCGAUGGGGCAAAUUUACAAUAACAACAAUAACCUCCUACGAAUUGCUCGAUCAAGAAGAAUGAUAUUAAUAUAGGACAGUGAAAAAAAAGCAUUAAGAAUGUUAACCUGUCAUAUUCAGUAAUUGCAGUAUGAGACUCUUGGCCACUCUUCCCAAGCUUGUAGAUUUUCUUGUUCAUCUCAGUACGGUGAUGAUAACCAUUCUGUCCAGCCCUAGCAACAGUAAAUGACACCCUAGCUGGAUGCCAAGCACCAAUACAUGCCACCUUCCUUAGACCACGAUGGGUCUUGCGGGGCAGACGGGUCACACCCCAACGAGUAACCACACCUUCAUAUCCCUUACCCUUGGUUACACCAAUAAUAUCUAUCAUCUCAUCCUUUUGGAAAACAGCAUCAAUAGGGAUCUGCUUCUCAAAGAAACUGUAGGCAAAGUCGACCUUCUUGGCAAUAUCCCCACCAUUCACCUGAAUCUCCAUUAGAUGGGCUUUCUUCUGCUUCAACCCUUUCAUCUUUCUUAUCUGCAGAGUCAAUAGUGCAGCAAAUGUGAAGAGUUAAGGAUUAAAGAAGAGCACAUACAAGUUGUACAUGAAAGAACAGAAUCAUGAAUCUAUUGAGGAUCAGAAAUCCAGCAGAGCCUUAAAGUGCUACUAAAUUAUUGAGUGAUGAUAUCUCAUUCACAAAUACAGAAAUGAAUGCACAAGGGAAAAGUGGAAGUAAUUUACCUGGGUGUGCGCCAAGACCCGAAUGACGGAACAAUGCUUCUUCAGUUUCUCCAAUUGAGCUUGAAUAUCUUUCUUCCCAUCUUCAGAUUCAAACUUCUUAGAGUACUUGGUGAAUGCCUUCUUUUUGGACUUGCACCAGUUCUUGUAGAAUCUCCUCCUCACAUCCUCACUCAAAUGCUGGGCCCAGACAGUGUUCAGUGAACGGAGACCACGGGGUGUUUUCAUAUAACCCACAACCCCAACCACCACCAUGGGUGGUGUCUCUACGAUAGUAACAGCUUCACAUGUUUCUUUCUUGUGGAGCUUUGACCCUGGCUUUUCAACUUCUCUGACAAUGUGGGUCAUCCCUGCUUUGUAACCCAGAAAAGCAGUCAAUCUGCAAGGUUUUGUUGGAUCAUCUUUGGGGAAUGCCUUCACUGUAAACAUCACAGAAAAGCGUAAAAAAAAUCAACAAUUGCACAACACUAACCAAUAUGCAAAUUGCAAAAAUAGUCAAUAUAAACAACUCACAAGUGAGUAAUAAAUCAACAUUAACAAAUACUGACAUAAAUUUAAUUGCAAGGCACUGAAACAAAUCAAUGCAAACACUAAAACUAAGGAAGCAACAUAGUAAGAUGACACUCUUUAUGAAAACAAAAAAAUGCUUGUAUUAAAAUCUAGAACUGUUAGGAAGUGCGAAUAAUUCAUUUAUAAUAACAAACCAACUACCAAGGCUAGGCAUAGGCCAUCUAUCUACCCACAACUCAUGCAGUCAGAAAAGAGGUUAUUAUUGAAAUAUCAAGGACCUAUUUACUUGUAGAAAACAGUUUUUCUUUUCAACCUUCGAAGAAUUAGAAGACUGUAGUUUUCAUUUUAUAAAGAAAACAAAGGAAAAGAUGGAAAGCAAGUUCAAUUGUGUAUGACAGAAAAUAGUUUUGUAUCUUAAAAAUUUUUUAAAAAUUAUUUGUAUCCAUUCGUAAUAGAAAGAGUCAUGAUAAAUAUAUUUUACAUCUAUUUUUUUAAAUGUGUCAAUUGUUUUAUCUUAUAAUAAUAUAGUUAGUUUUCAUUACUGUAAAUAAAUGUUUUUUCCAAACUUAAUGAUUAAAAGUUAUAGAAUAAUUUUAGUCAUUAGAGGAAAACAGUUGAAAAUAGAACUUUUGUUAUAAAGAAAAAUAACGAGGAAAAAACAUAAAGCUGAUUUCCAAAUCUUAGUUAAGUUUAGAAAAUUGAAAAACAAAAUUUUCAAUUCUCAGAUUGGAAAAUUGAUACAUAUGCACACAAAACUUUAUUUUCCAAUUUACUUAGAACAUUAUUCCCAAAAAUUACUCCAGUUUUCUACAAGUGAGAAAGUACAAAAAGUCCUGAGAUUUUUCAUGCCAAGGAAGAAAUGACAUACAAAAGGACAAACUAUACAUGAAUUUCUUUAAUCAAAAGCCCUAUUUUUACAUCCAAAAAACAGAAGACAACAUUAACCAUAGAGUUCGCUAAUACUAAAAAAACACCAUAAUAUGAUCAAAACUAAACAAGAAGCAAUUUAGGCAACAUCGAUUACUGAUAAUGAAAACAAUCAAUGCAUGACUUCAAAAAAAUCAACGAAUGCAUAUUAUGUAAGGCCAAAUAUAAAUUUAAAAAGCUUCAGCAAUAAUGAGAUUAAAACAAGAAUUAGAAACCUUUUCCUCUGUGGCGCGAGGCUCUCUUCCUUGGAAGAAAUCCCAAAGAACCAUGCCGGGGGUGUUCAAACUUGCGAUGAGACAUGCUUCAACUUCAGGGUACAACUGCAACACUCUAUGAAUUUCAAACUUAUUUUCCUUGAAAAAGGCAGAAAAUUCACAACAACAGAAAGCAACAAAUUUUCAAAUGAUAUUUGGUUAAUCUCAAAUGCUACUGCUUAUCAAUCUGUGUGUAUAAAACCAGAGAAACACUAUUCUCUCCAAGUGAAAAGGAUUAAAACAGGUAUUAUCCCAUAAAGGAGCUGAAAAUUGAGAUAUAGUUUCUGGAUAAAAUCAUAAUGACUAAAACACAGAUACAAAUUAAGAGAAACAUUCAAGUCAAUUAAAAAUAAUAAACAUUCUCAAAAAGAAGGGUAAGUUUUAAUAUUUAACAAUUACUUUAUUAAAAAAUACACAAUUGACAAUUUCAUUGAAAUACUGUGUAGUCAGACAAAAGUUUCUUGUAUUUGGAUAAGAUAAGGAAAAGUAAAAUCGUAAAUAAUCAAGAGAAACCAUCAGAUUAAUUAAACCUGAUUGGAAACCUCAAAACGGUUCAUUAUUCAACUUUAAAAAUCAAUUAAAAAAAUUUUUGAAAAAAAAGACUCAGCCAUCAAAAUGCUACAAAACCAAAAGGUCAUACAAUUUCAUCACUCAAUAAUCACGAAUUUCUUUUCUAGAAAAAAUGAAAUUAUAUCAACCCUUGACCUCUAAGCAUUUGAUAUCAACACCAAACCUUAAUAAGUGAAAUGAAAUGCUUCCCAACCAAAGGCCUAUGGCAUAAAAAUUAUGCCAAAUCUCAAAGCUCAGUGGUAUUCCAUUUCAAAUACCAAUUCAUGGUAUCGGCAAAAAGAGCCAUUUCCGAGACCCCAGCCUUGAUUAUUUCAGCAAUUCUCUUAUAAAGGGAAGUCAUUUCAAAAUCACCACCAGGCAAGAUUAUCAGGACAAGAGCAUUAAAAGAACCUUUAAAAAACCUCCAAAACAUCUAUUUACAAAAGAGUAAAACAAGCAGAACCCAACUCCUUCCAGAACCAAGUAGAGAUCUAAGCUAAUCAAAUAUUGAAUCAAAAAAAGCAAACCAAGUAGAGAUCUAAGCUAGAAGUUUAAUUAUCAUGUAUGUUUAUGAAUCAAUGACAGGAAUUGUAAGGUAUUACCUCCCGAUGAGGAGAUCACUGGACGUACUGUGUGCCGAUAAGAACCCUAGAGAGGUUUAGCUAGACAUUUAUAUCGUUCUCGAGAUGAGAUCCAACGGCUGUAAUUAGCAUCCAAUGGGUAUUAUCGUUGGAUGGUUAGGGUUAGCGUUUUGCAAGAAGAGCCGCCGAUCCAGCAGCUAUGGAAACUAGUAAAUGGGCUAAGAAUAGAGAAAGCCGACUACAUCCAGUCCAAUAUUCAAAGGUGGGCUGAGUUGUUUUUUGGUUAGUAACUUUUAAGUUUGGGUUCUGAGAAAAUUUUAAAAUGGUAUUUAGAAAUUGAAAACGUAAAUCAUAAAAUACUAUUUUUUUUAAUUUUGAGUAAAAAUUAUCUAUCAAAUAUUAAAAUAAUUAGUAACUAUUAAAACAUGUAAUAUUACUAGACAUUAUUUUGUAAAUAAUUUUUUUAUAAAUGUAAAUAAUGUUAUCAAAAUAAGAAAUUAAAUUUAUGGGAUAAAUUAUAGUUAAUCAAACUUUACCAUUUUUCUAAUUUUGUUAUAUAUAAUUAUGGUGCCCAAUAAAAAAUGUUAAAUUUCUAUUAAUUAGACAAAUAAAUCUAACCGUGGUUUUAUUUUUUUUUUUUUUUAAAUAAAGAUUCUCUCUCCAAAUUCCUUUCUUAAGUUUUAACUUAAAUUCAUUUGCUGCCUCCUGUGCGGGUGAGCAGUAUUCGGUUCAAAUCGAAAAAAUUGAUCGAACCGAACUGAUUUAAAAUUUUAGUUCGGUUUUUUAUAUAUUUUGGUUCAGUUUGGUUUUUAAUUUUAGAAAUUUCGGUUAUUUCAAUUCGGUUCGAUUUUAAUUAAAAAAAAAUCGAAAAAACCGAAUCAAACCGAUUAGUAAUAAUAAUAUAUUUUUUCAAUAAUAUAGAGAAAUUAAAUCAUAUUAAAAUUAAAAUAUUUUAAUUAAAUUUUAAAAUAUUAAAAAUAAAAUGUAAAAAAUAAAAAAAUUAUUAAAAAUCGAAACUGAUCAAACCGAACCGAAUCGAACCGAAUCAUACCGGUUUGGUUCGAUUCGAUUUCUAAUCAAAAUCGGUUCGGUUCGAUUUUCAUAAAUACUAAAAUUUCGGUUUCGGUUUAUUCGAUUCGGUUCGAUUUUGAACCGAACUGACCGAAUGCUCACCCCUACUCCUGUGGUUUAUCAUAUCUCUGCAUGUAAGAGGAUCCUUCUACCCUUCCUUUGCCUCUAAGGGUAAGAGAGACCUCUUUUCUUUUUUGAAUAUAGUUUCUAUUUUCUCCCAUCCGAUUGGAUUGUAGAUAAUCCUUUUAACUAUUUUUACUCGGUUGUAUUUAAGCAUUCGAAAGAGAUCAUAUAUUUUUUAUAUGCAUAUUUGAAUCUUUGUGGGUUUUUCUCCUCUUUGCUUGUCUCUUUCAUAAUGUUCUAUUUGUAUACUUUAUUUUUAAAGUAAACUCCUUUACUUUAGAGGACAUGCCCCUUCUUUAGCAUGAAUUAUAUUUUUUGUGUCUAAUUGUUAUUUUUUUUGCGAUUGUUGGUCUAAAGAUUCUAAAUUACUCUUUGAUGAUUAUCAUUCGAUAGAGGGGGCAAGAAACAAAAUAAUAGUUGUAUCUAGCACAUGCUCGUAAACAGUUUAGAAAGCAGGAAUGAGAUGACAAAUAAUGAUACCACCUUUAUUCAUUGCCAACACAUAAUAGAUGUAGAGUUUCUAUAUGGUUCGGUACUCAAUGGUUUUCUCUUUAUCUUUCUUCGAAUAUUUUUUAUUUCUUUACUUUUUUUUAUUUUUCACAUUUAAAUUUAUCAAUAUCAACAUCUCAAUAAAUAGCUAGCUUAGUAUAGUUAGGGUUAUAUAAUUUUUUUUCAGUAGGAUAGGCUUGCUUGUAAUGGGAUUGUGUUUUACAUGUAUGAAAGAAUAAAUAUCAAAUACUUAAAUUUUUAAAAAAUUUAUUAAUUUAUUUAUAUUUUAAAAUUAUUCAAUUAAAAUAUCUUUAUAUUUUACAUAAUCAAACUCUUGUAAUUUUUAUGUUACUUUACAAGAUUUAUUUUAAAUUUGAUCAGAAAAAUUAAAUAGUAUGAAUAUUUCAAAUUAUAAAAAUUAAAUAAUACAUAUAAUUAAAAUUAUAAAAACCAACCAAAACAAUUAUUCCAGGUAGGUUGCUAAUGUUUUUUUUUUUUAACAGAAAAAAAAAUUUAUAUUUUACAAAAUAUAAAAAUAAUUUAAUGGAGUGAUUUGAAAAUAAAAACAAACUAGUUUAUUUAAUAAAAUUUCAGGGAUUACAUAAUAAUUUAGCCUAGAUGUAUUUGGGAUGGGUUUGGACCAAGCAAUAUUGUUUUUUCUUUUUAGUCAUAGCCUAUCUGAGGGCCCUCAACUAGAAAAUGAAAUUGCAUUAAUAAAAUUAAUUUGGUUGGACUCAAUUAAAUUUGAUAUAUUGGCUUGGAUUAAUUAUAAAUUCAGUUUCAGUUAUGUUUCUCAAUAUUAACUUUAAUUUGAAACUUAAUUACAAUUAAUUAAAAAGUUAAACUAUUCUAUUGGCUCCUUUCUAGAUUACCUCAGCUUGAUACGGUCUUUUGCCCAGAAAUGCAAGAAAUCUAGAAUGUUUACUUCUAGAUGAUGUGCAAGUCCAUUAGUUCUUUUGGGUCGGAUCUAGAGAAUCCAAUCAGGAUUAAUGUUUUCUGGGUGGAAUUUACAUUUGAGUUGUCUUUUACUGGAACCAAAUCAUUGUACUUUUAGGCCAUAGUUAAUGAUAUUUCAAUCCAAAAUUUGAUACUAAAUUCACAUUGAUUUCACACAUCUCAAAAACCAUAAAGAUGACCUUGACAUAAUACUUAUUAAUAAAUUCGAUUAUUAUAUGGGCAAUCUAUUAACAGAAAAUGGACAUUAAACUGAAAAGCAUCGAACAGAAGUAAUACAAAUACCAUAUGCAUUGCAUUUUGUGCUCAAGCAGACACUUGAAAGCUAAUGAUCUGGAUUAGGAAUACUAUUACUUCAUACAUGCUUCCAUUCAGUCAUCAAGCAAACUGGCUUUGUUAAUGGUACCUCAAAUCAUCAAUGUCAUGCCCUUUGAGAGCAAAAUGGAGCACUGAAAUCAAUGGCAUUCAGAUAUAUAAAUAGCAGUAAAUAAUUUAAUAAGGAAAGCUCCAAACAGGUUCAGUAAUAAUUGAAGCAACAAAACUACAGUCACCAACAAAAACCAACAGAGUAAUCCAACUCAAAAAUUUCAAACACUAGGAGAAAAAGUUGUGAUGUUUAUUUAUCCUCUCCCAUGCUUAGCUAAACUCAAGCCUUAACCCGCCCAUAGAACUUUGCCUUCUCCUGUGUUGUCUGGAAUCUACCAUGGCCAAACUUGGAGGAUGUAUCAAUGAACUUGAGCUUAAUCUCCUCCAAAGCAACCCUAGAUGUCUGGUUCAACAAUGAUUGUCUCAAGGUCACAACUCUCUUCUUUGGUCCCACGCAGCAUCCUUUUAUCAUCAAAUAAUCUUCCUUCACCACACCAUAGUGGGGGAACCCUCCCAUUGGUGUGAUAUCCUUUUCA